UCCGUAGGUGAACCUGCGGAAGGAUCAUUAAUGAAGCACAAGAGCGCACUUUAUAUUGUGGCUCGACCUUCAUAUCCACCCACCCUGUGCACCGUGUACCUUUUUUAUUCAGACUCUACAAGUCGAUGAAUGUACUACUUAUAAAGUAAACAAAACUUUCAACAACGGAUCUCUUGGUUCUCGCAUCGAUGAAGAACGCAGCGAAAUGCGAUAAGUAAUGUGAAUUGCAGAAUUCAGUGAAUCAUCGAAUCUUUGAACGCACCUUGCACCUUUUGGCAUUCCGAAAGGUACAUCUGUUUGAGUGUCAUGAAUCCCUCAACCCCUGCACUUUCUUGUAGAGUGUGGGAGCGUUGGAUGCUGAGCGCUGCUGUUAGUCGACAGCUCGCUUCAAAUGUAUAAGCAAUCUUGAUGGUGAUCGGAUUGACCCGACGUGAUAAGAUCUUCGUUGGGGAUGCUCUCUGCAGCAGCCGGACAGCUAUACAAGUCGCUUCCAAAUCGUGGCUUGCCACACCCCCUUUAAUUUAGACCUCAAAUCAGAUGGGACUACCCGCUGAACUUAAGCAUAUCAAUAAGCGGAGGA
This 580-nucleotide ribosomal RNA is filed under the name Septobasidium sp. JBS-2010b. RNAcentral describes it as "eukaryotic LSU rRNA". The stretch from base 154 to 307 matches the Rfam family "5.8S ribosomal RNA". The record is from RNAcentral. Lineage: Eukaryota; Fungi; Basidiomycota; Pucciniomycetes; Septobasidiales; Septobasidiaceae. RNAcentral also lists the same sequence under 2 other names.